RNAcentral lists this long non-coding RNA (137 nucleotides) under Haliotis rubra (blacklip abalone). RNAcentral's name for it is "uncharacterized LOC124261658, transcript variant X1". The record is from RNAcentral. Lineage: Eukaryota; Metazoa; Mollusca; Gastropoda; Lepetellida; Haliotidae.
UUUAAAAGUAAAUAUUACAGUGUUCACGAAUUGUGUCUCAAAGUAACAGGACAUUGGGUCCUGUAAGUUUCAGAUGUCUGUCUGACCCAUUAAAACUUCACAGGACCCAUAGAAUGAAAUUAAACACACAUUUCAGA